RNAcentral lists this ribosomal RNA (597 nucleotides) under Sphaerozoum sp. TB-2015. Its description in RNAcentral is "eukaryotic LSU rRNA". It matches the Rfam family "Eukaryotic large subunit ribosomal RNA", at positions 92 to 807 of the family's 3401-position model. The record is from RNAcentral. Lineage: Eukaryota; Polycystinea; Collodaria; Sphaerozoidae.
AAUGAAAGGAAAGUAGUCUAAUCCAUAAAUCUAUUAUAAAUGGAUUGUAACUUGUAGUUUUGCUAGUUGGAUGGCCCUUGAUUUUAACAAUCUCAAUCAAAUAUGAGAUCCUAGUGGGUUAUUUGCCCGUAUGUUGACAUAUCAGGAGUCAAUUUCAACUAUGUUUUAGAGUAGCGCUCUUUGGUAAUAGAGCUCGAAGCGUGUGGUGAUAUUCAUAAAAGACUUAUCAUUGGUGAGAGACCUUUAGCGUACAAGUACCGUGAGGGAAAGAUGAAAAGAACUUUGGAGAGGGAGUUAAACAGUAUGCGAACAUGUUGGUAGAAAGCGGAUCAAUUUAAUGAACAUUUCUUUGUGGCAAUAACAUGUAAUUUAUACUCUAAUUCUAGAUAUAAAUUAUAAUUCUGGCUACUCAGGGUGAGGUAUAUAUGUUUUUAUUUAUUCUGAUCCGACCCGUCUGGAAACACGGACCAAGGAGUCUAGUAUUGGUGCAAGUAUUUGAAAAGUUAAAAUUCCUUUACACAGGUAACUCAGAUCGUGUUCAUCGUGUCAUUAUGAUCGUAUCGCGGGCAGUGUUUUUUACCUAGCAAGAGCAUGUAU